This 253-nucleotide ribosomal RNA is filed under the name uncultured bacterium. RNAcentral's name for it is "partial 16S ribosomal RNA". It matches the Rfam family "Bacterial small subunit ribosomal RNA", at positions 524 to 776 of the family's 1533-position model. The record is from RNAcentral.
UACGUAGGGUGCAAGCGUUACUCGGAAUUACUGGGCGUAAAGCGUGCGCAGGCGGUUUUGUAAGUCUGUCGUGAAAUCCCCGGGCUCAACCUGGGAAUGGCGAUGGAGACUGCAAGGCUGGAAUCUGGCAGAGGGGGGUAGAAUUCCACGUGUAGCAGUGAAAUGCGUAGAGAUGUGGAGGAACACCGAUGGCGAAGGCAGCCCCCUGGGCUAAGAUUGACGCUCAUGCACGAAAGCGUGGGGAGCAAACAGG